GUUGAAUUCUUUGACGUCUGUCCAGCUGCCUGGCUUUCACGGAGCACCUCCUAUCUGCAUUUUGCCUUUCCGUCUUUGUAUCGUUCUUCAUUGUCGCUAACUGCUCACACAUCCUCCAGUUACCUAUACUUUUCUCUCCCACCCGACCUCACCUCCUCUUCACUUCUUUGUCCGCUCGUUGUUUUUUCUUGUCUGACGAGUUGCUUUAACGCCUUGCAGCCACCUCUUUUUUUAGCUUUGGUUGGACACUUUCACUCAAACUCUCAUUCUCCUUAGCAUUAAAGAAAGAAAAACACAAUUUGUAUUCUGGGCCAUGUCUGUGAUGUGAGUGAACAGAGAGGGGGAAGGAGAGACAGGGAGGUGGACAGCGAGGAGAGGAGGGCUUGUUAAAGUCACAGUUUGAUGACUGGUUAAAUGUAUUUGACAUAAAGGCAGGUGUCUGGGGGCAUUCGCCCACAUUGGUAGACUGAUUUUUUUCUUUUUUCUUUUGGUUUUAUUUUAAAGAGGGAAUUUGACCUUGAGUCAGCAAAGUGGCAUGCUCUGACGCCAGAGAAGGUACUACAAUGCACCAUCACUCACUUCCUAACAUAACAAUAGCUUGACUUUACUGCAGCGAGGAGAAAUUAGAAAUGCAUUUUGCAGAAUGAUAUAAUUCUGCCUGAUUUUGUGCAUCAUUACACAGGUGAUUUGUAUAUUGACACACAAGUCUGCAUUGCGCUUGAGUUUGCCCGUUUGUGGGGUUGUUUUUUUUCUUAAAUAUAGACUCCCAGUGUAUCCUCACAGUUGGAUAAUGAUGCAGUUAGAGGGGUGAGAGAGGGAGAAGGAUGGCUAUCCACACACGUGGCAAGUCAAGUGCUCAACAGUAGACUUUUUAGAUGCUGGUGGCACGGUGUGUUUGGAUGCAUUUGAAUUUGUACCUCCAUGACUGAGCAAUAUUCCCCUGCACGAAUGAGUUUGCGCAUGGAUGCCCGUUUAUACAUGUUACCCUGUAUCCUACCCUGGCAGCAAUGCCUGGUCAGCAGCUGACACCCCCCCACACACACACGUAAACCUCCCACCCCAUCACUGACAGCAGCUCCUGCAGUGC
Astatotilapia calliptera (eastern happy) is the source of this 1087-nucleotide long non-coding RNA. The record is from Ensembl. Lineage: Eukaryota; Metazoa; Chordata; Actinopteri; Cichliformes; Cichlidae.